Lolium rigidum is the source of this 331-nucleotide long non-coding RNA. RefSeq lists it as uncharacterized. The transcript has 3 exons. The record is from RefSeq and is a predicted model, not a curated record. NCBI's taxonomy places the organism in Eukaryota, Viridiplantae, Streptophyta, Magnoliopsida, Poales, Poaceae.
UGGAGGAUGGGCGGAAAUUUUUAAGGUGAUCUUUUGGUUGGUGCAGAUGGCAAGGUGAGGAAGUUGCUUUUUGAGCAAGCACAAGUAUCUUAUUCAGAAUAUAUUUGCUACACUGGAAUUGCAUAGUUUGUGCCUCCUGAUAUUGACACAGUAGGGUACCAUGUGUUCCUUGAUCACAAACAAUAUUUCGACCCCUCAGAUGUUGGUGCUGGUAAAAUGCAGUGGUACACAUCUCAAAAGGAACCAGCUGGUGGUACUGAUUCUGAAAAUGAUGAGUGCCCAGGAUGAAGAUUUCAAUCGAUUAAAUGAAAGAAGGUAUAGCUUGAAGUGA